Molecule: ribosomal RNA, 187 nt
Filed under: uncultured bacterium
Lineage: Bacteria
Description: partial 16S ribosomal RNA
Rfam family: Bacterial small subunit ribosomal RNA
Source: RNAcentral
AGAUCUCGCCUACGGGGGGCAGCAGUAGGGAAUCUUCCACAAUGGACGAAAGUCUGAUGGAGCAACGCCGCGUGAGUGAAGAAGGGUUUCGGCUCGUAAAGCUCUGUUGGUAGUGAAGAAAGAUAGAGGUAGUAACUGGCCUUUAUUUGACGGUAAUUACUUAGAAAGUCACGGCUAACUACGUGCC